This 426-nucleotide ribosomal RNA is filed under the name uncultured Clostridium sp. Its description in RNAcentral is "bacterial SSU rRNA". It matches the Rfam family "Bacterial small subunit ribosomal RNA", at positions 354 to 794 of the family's 1533-position model. The record is from RNAcentral. Lineage: Bacteria; Bacillati; Bacillota; Clostridia; Eubacteriales; Clostridiaceae.
UGGGGGAAUAUUGGGCAAUGGGCGAAAGCCUGACCCAGCAACGCCGCGUGAAGGAAGAAGGUCUUCGGAUUGUAAACUUCUUUUAUCAGGGACGAAGGAAGUGACGGUACCUGAUGAAUAAGCCACGGCUAACUACGUGCCAGCAGCCGCGGUAAUACGUAGGUGGCAAGCGUUAUCCAGAUUUACUGGGUGUAAAGGGCGCGUAGGCGGGGAUACAAGUCAGAUGUGAAGUCUCCGGGCUUAACCCGGAAACUGCAUUUGAAACUGUUGCCCUUGAGUAUCGGAGAGGCAGGCGGAAUUCCUAGUGUAGCGGUGAAAUGCGUAGAUAUUAGGAAGAACACCAGUGGCGAAGGCGGCCUGCUGGACGACAACUGACGCUGAGGCGCGAAAGCGUGGGGAGCAAACAGGAUUAGAUACCCUGGUAGU